AAGUCGUAACAAGGUUUCCGUAGGUGAACCUGCGGAAGGAUCAUUACCGAGUGAGGGUUCCUCGCGAGCCCAACCUCCCACCCGUGUUUACUGUACCCUGUUGCUUCGGUGGGCGCCCCCCCGGGGGAGUCCGCCGGAGACCACACGAACACUGUCUGAGAGCAUUGCAGUCUGAGUUGAUUGAUACCAAUCAGUUAAAACUUUCAACAAUGGAUCUCUUGGUUCCGGCAUCGAUGAAGAACGCAGCGAACUGCGAUAAGUAAUGUGAAUUGCAGAAUUCAGUGAAUCAUCGAGUCUUUGAACGCACAUUGCGCCCCCUGGUAUUCCGGGGGGCAUGCCUGUCCGAGCGUCAUUGCUGCCCUCAAGCCCGGCUUGUGUGUUGGGUCGCCGUCCCCCCGGGGACGGGCCCGAAAGGCAGCGGCGGCACCGCGUCCGGUCCUCGAGCGUAUGGGGCUUUGUCACCCGCUCUGUAGGGCCGGCCGGCGCCUGCCGACCUCCAACCUAUUCUUUCCAGGUUGACCUCGGAUCAGGUAGGGAUACCCGCUGAACUUAA
This 553-nucleotide ribosomal RNA is filed under the name uncultured fungus. Its description in RNAcentral is "eukaryotic LSU rRNA". The stretch from base 199 to 352 matches the Rfam family "5.8S ribosomal RNA". Lineage: Eukaryota; Fungi. The record is from RNAcentral.